AAAUGUUGGAAAUGUAAAGAAACUGAAGGUACAUUUUUUCACCUUUGGUGGACGUGCCCAAAGAUUAAGGCUUUCUGGGAAAUGAUAUAUAAUGAAUUAAAAAAGGUAUUUAAGUAUACCUUCCCUAAGAAACCAGAGGCCUUUCUCCUGGGCAUAGUCGGCCAAAUGGUGUUAAAAAAGGAUAGAACUUUCUUUAUGUAUGCAACAACAGCAGCAAGAAUACUCAUCGCAAAGUACUGGAAGACACAAGAACUUCCCACGCUGGAGGAAUGGCAGAUGAAAUUUAUGGAUUAUAUGGAACUGGCUGAAAUGACUGGUAGAAUCCGUGACCAGGGAGAAGAGUCGAUGGAGGAAGACUGGAAGAAAUUCAAAGACUAUCUUCAGAAACACUGCAAAAUUAAGGAAUGUUAGAGUGAUGUUGGACUGAAAACAAGUGGUUUCCAGCUGCACAGGCUAAAGUUAAGGAUAGAUUAAGAUUAAAGAUCAAGAUUAAAGAUGUUUAAAGAAAUGGAAAUUUGAUAUUAAAAGGGAAAACUUUAAAGUUAUAUGAUAUUAAGACAUUAAGAUUAAGGAUUAGGUUUAAAAAAGUUGAAGUUAUAUAUUUUAACAUUUUAUUAAAUUAAAGAUUGGGAUUAAAAAAGUGGAAAAGAAACUGCUGGACAAAUAAUGUGGACUGGAAUACAAAAGAGGGAGGUAUGAGGAAGUCUAGAAAAUAAGUAAUUUAAAAUUGGAAAUGGAAAAGAGAGUUUGUUUUUAAUUGUUGUGUUUUGUGUUUUUAUUGUUAAGUUUUGUAUUGUUUUUUGUGUGUGUUGUUUUGUUGUUUAAAACUUU
This 831-nucleotide long non-coding RNA is filed under the name Podarcis lilfordi (Lilford's wall lizard). The record is from RNAcentral. Lineage: Eukaryota; Metazoa; Chordata; Lepidosauria; Squamata; Lacertidae.